RNAcentral lists this ribosomal RNA (1555 nucleotides) under Escherichia coli. RNAcentral's name for it is "bacterial SSU rRNA". It matches the Rfam family "Bacterial small subunit ribosomal RNA". Lineage: Bacteria; Pseudomonadati; Pseudomonadota; Gammaproteobacteria; Enterobacterales; Enterobacteriaceae. The record is from RNAcentral.
UUAAAUUGAAGAGUUUGAUCAUGGCUCAGAUUGAACGCUGGCGGCAGGCCUAACACAUGCAAGUCGAACGGUAACAGGAAACAGCUUGCUGUUUCGCUGACGAGUGGCGGACGGGUGAGUAAUGUCUGGGAAACUGCCUGAUGGAGGGGGAUAACUACUGGAAACGGUAGCUAAUACCGCAUAACGUCGCAAGACCAAAGAGGGGGACCUUCGGGCCUCUUGCCAUCGGAUGUGCCCAGAUGGGAUUAGCUUGUUGGUGGGGUAACGGCUCACCAAGGCGACGAUCCCUAGCUGGUCUGAGAGGAUGACCAGCCACACUGGAACUGAGACACGGUCCAGACUCCUACGGGAGGCAGCAGUGGGGAAUAUUGCACAAUGGGCGCAAGCCUGAUGCAGCCAUGCCGCGUGUAUGAAGAAGGCCUUCGGGUUGUAAAGUACUUUCAGCGGGGAGGAAGGGAGUAAAGUUAAUACCUUUACUCAUUGACGUUACCCGCAGAAGAAGCACCGGCUAACUCCGUGCCAGCAGCCGCGGUAAUACGGAGGGUGCAAGCGUUAAUCGGAAUUACUGGGCGUAAAGCGCACGCAGGCGGUUUGUUAAGUCAGAUGUGAAAUCCCGGGCUCAACCUGGGAACUGCAUCUGAUACUGGCAAGCUUGAGUCUCGUAGAGGGGGGUAGAAUUCCAGGUGUAGCGGUGAAAUGCGUAGAGAUCUGGAGGAAUACCGGUGGCGAAGGCGGCCCCCUGGACGAAGACUGACGCUCAGGUGCGAAAGCGUGGGGAGCAAACAGGAUUAGAUACCCUGGUAGUCCACGCCGUAAACGAUGUCGACUUGGAGGUUGUGCCCUUGAGGCGUGGCUUCCGGAGCUAACGCGUUAAGUCGACCGCCUGGGGAGUACGGCCGCAAGGUUAAAACUCAAAUGAAUUGACGGGGGCCCGCACAAGCGGUGGAGCAUGUGGUUUAAUUCGAUGCAACGCGAAGAACCUUACCUGGUCUUGACAUCCACGGAAGUUUUCAGAGAUGAGAAUGUGCCUUCGGGAACCGUGAGACAGGUGCUGCAUGGCUGUCGUCAGCUCGUGUUGUGAAAUGUUGGGUUAAGUCCCGCAACGAGCGCAACCCUUAUCCUUUGUUGCCAGCGGUCCGGCCGGGAACUCAAAGGAGACUGCCAGUGAUAAACUGGAGGAAGGUGGGGAUGACGUCAAGUCAUCAUGGCCCUUACGACCAGGGCUACACACGUGCUACAAUGGCGCAUACAAAGAGAAGCGACCUCGCGAGAGCAAGCGGACCUCAUAAAGUGCGUCGUAGUCCGGAUUGGAGUCUGCAACUCGACUCCAUGAAGUCGGAAUCGCUAGUAAUCGUGGAUCAGAAUGCCACGGUGAAUACGUUCCCGGGCCUUGUACACACCGCCCGUCACACCAUGGGAGUGGGUUGCAAAAGAAGUAGGUAGCUUAACCUUCGGGAGGGCGCUUACCACUUUGUGAUUCAUGACUGGGGUGAAGUCGUAACAAGGUAACCGUAGGGGAACCUGCGGUUGGAUCACCUCCUUACCUUAAAGAAGC